GUGGGGAAUAUUGGACAAUGGGCGAAAGCCUGAUCCAGCCAUGCCGCGUGUGUGAAGAAGGUCUUCGGAUUGUAAAGCACUUUAAGUUGGGAGGAAGGGCAGUAAGUUAAUACCUUGCUGUUUUGACGUUACCAACAGAAUAAGCACCGGCUAACUUCGUGCCAGCAGCCGCGGUAAUACGAAGGGUGCAAGCGUUAAUCGGAAUUACUGGGCGUAAAGCGCGCGUAGGUGGUUUUGUAAGUUGGAGGUGAAAUCCCCGGGGUAAAACUGGGAACUGCCUCAAAAACUGCAUGACUAGAGGACGGUAGAGGGUAGUGGAAUUUCCUGUGUAGCGGUGAAAUGCGUAGAUAUAGGAAGGAACACCAGUGGCGAAGGCGACUACCUGGACUGAUACUGACACUGAGGUGCGAAAGCGUGGGGAGCAAACAGGAUUAGAUACCCGUGUAGUCC
This 450-nucleotide ribosomal RNA is filed under the name uncultured bacterium. RNAcentral describes it as "partial 16S ribosomal RNA". It matches the Rfam family "Bacterial small subunit ribosomal RNA", at positions 354 to 796 of the family's 1533-position model. The record is from RNAcentral.